GAUGAACGCUGGCGGCGUGCCUAAUACAUGCAAGUCGAGCGAACAGACGCGGCGCUUGUUCCUCUGACGUUAGCGGCGGACGGGUGAGUAACACGUGGAUAACCUACCUAUCAGACUGGGAUAACUUCGGGAAACCGGCGCUAAUACCGGAUAAUAUCUUGAACCGUAUGGUUCAAUAGUGAAAGACGGUUUUGCUGUAACUUAUAGAUGGAUCCGCGCCGCAUUAGCUAGUUGGUAAGUUAACGGCUUACCAAGGCAACGAUGCGUAGCCGACCGGAGAGGGGGAUCGGCGACACUGGAACGUGGACACGGACCAGACGCCUGAGGGAGGCAGCAGUAGGGAAUCUGCCGCAGUGGGCGGAAGCAUGACGGAGCAACGCCGCGUGAGUGAUAAAGGUCUUCGGAUCGUAAAACUCUGUUAUGAGGGAAGAACAAAUGUGGAAGGAACUAUGCACGUCGUGACGGUACCGAAUCAGAAAGCCACGGCUAACUACGUG
This 497-nucleotide ribosomal RNA is filed under the name uncultured bacterium. RNAcentral's name for it is "partial 16S ribosomal RNA". It matches the Rfam family "Bacterial small subunit ribosomal RNA", at positions 28 to 507 of the family's 1533-position model. The record is from RNAcentral.